Molecule: unclassified non-coding RNA, 213 nt
Filed under: Hevea brasiliensis (rubber tree)
Lineage: Eukaryota; Viridiplantae; Streptophyta; Magnoliopsida; Malpighiales; Euphorbiaceae
Source: RNAcentral
UCUUGACGAAGGUAUCUGAGAUAGAUACACAUGAAAAUGAAAUAAUUUAGUUGCUUCUUCCACACUAGUUUUGGGACCCAUAAUUCAUAUUGUUUGCCCCAUUAGACGAAGAUUAUUUGUCUCAGUGGCAGCUCUGCUAGAGUUUAUUCUAGUUCCUUCACAAACGCUCAAUUUCCUUCUAAUAAUCAAUUAAUUUACAAAGGAUAUAUGUUG